ACGUAGGGGGCAAGCGUUGUUCGGAAUUAUUGGGCGUAAAGGGCAUGUAGGCGGUUAUGUAAGCCUGGUGUGAAAUCCUGCAGCUUAACUGUAGAAUUGCAUUGGGUACUGCAAGACUUGAAUCACAGAGGGGAAACUAGAAUUCCAGGUGUAGGGGUGGAAUCUGUAGAUAUCUGGAAGAAUACCGGUGGCGAAGGCGGGUUUCUAGCUGAUGAUUGACGCUGAGGUGCGAAAGUGCGGGGAGCAAACAGGAUUAGAUACCCUGGUAGUCCGCACAGUAAACGAUGUACACUAGGUGUCGGGGCAUGAGUCUCGGUGCCGAAGCUAACGUGAUAAGUGUACCGCCUGGGAAGUAUGCCCGCAAGGGUG
Molecule: ribosomal RNA, 369 nt
Filed under: uncultured bacterium
Lineage: Bacteria
Description: bacterial SSU rRNA
Rfam family: Bacterial small subunit ribosomal RNA
Source: RNAcentral